Molecule: ribosomal RNA, 369 nt
Filed under: uncultured phototrophic eukaryote
Lineage: Eukaryota
Description: SSU rRNA
Rfam family: Bacterial small subunit ribosomal RNA
Source: RNAcentral
UACGGGGGAUGCAAGCGUUAUCCGGAAUUAUUGGGCGUAAAGCGCCUGUAGGUUGUUUAGUAAGUUUGUUGUUAAAGAUUAGGGCUUAACCCUAAAGAAGCAAUGGAAACUACUAGACUUGAGUAUAGCAGGGGUAGAGGGAAUUUCUAGUGUAGUGGUGAAAUGCGUAGAUAUUAGAAAGAACACCGGUGGCGAAAGCGCUCCACUGGACUAUUACUGACACUCAGAGGCGAAAGCUAGGGGAGCAAAAGGGAUUAGAUACCCCUGUAGUCCUAGCCGUAAACGAUGGAUACUAGAUGCUGUGCAAACUGUACAGUACCGUAGCUAACGCGUUAAGUAUCCCGCCUGGGGAGUACGCUCGCAAGAGUG